UACAGAGGUGGCAAGCGUUGUUCGGAAUUACUGGGCGUAAAGGGCGCGUAGGCGGCCUUCUUAGUCGGACGUGAAAUCCCCAGGCUCAACUUGGGAACUGCGUCCGAUACUGGAUGGCUUGAGUGCGGGAGAGGGAUGUGGAAUUCCAGGUGUAGCGGUGAAAUGCGUAGAUAUCUGGAGGAAUACCGGUGGCGAAGGCGGCAUCCUGGACCGGCAUUGACGCUGAGGAGCGAAAGCCAGGGGAGCAAACGGG
RNAcentral lists this ribosomal RNA (253 nucleotides) under uncultured bacterium. RNAcentral describes it as "partial 16S ribosomal RNA". It matches the Rfam family "Bacterial small subunit ribosomal RNA", at positions 524 to 776 of the family's 1533-position model. The record is from RNAcentral.